This is a long non-coding RNA of Mus musculus (house mouse), 787 nucleotides long. RefSeq annotates it as distal regulatory enhancer RNA of Gata3. The record is from RefSeq and is a predicted model, not a curated record. The transcript is spliced from 2 exons. Lineage: Eukaryota; Metazoa; Chordata; Mammalia; Rodentia; Muridae.
GUCUUGAACUCCUGUCCCCGUCCCCAGUGCAGAGUGCUGGAGGCAUGCUCCAUCAUGUUUGGCUAUGUGGAGGUUUCUUUAAAUAGCAGUUUCUGAAGGUGUUUAGUUUUAUUCUAUAGCCCAUAAUCCCUCCCCAAAUGACUACAGUGCAGAAUGUGCCUUUGGUGUGUAUUCUUUCAAGCUUGGCUCUGUACCUUCUACUUCCUCUCUACCCACCCAGACCUGGAUCUUUUAGUUUUGCAAACUGCCUUUCUAUUUUUAUCCACCCUAAGAUUUUAUCUAUGUUCCUGAAAGGACUCUUGAUAAAUCCCAUUGGUUUGCAGUAAUCACAGAAUGGCAAUAGGAUUCUUCUUUCUGUCAGUAUCUUGGGUCUUUUCAAAUGCAGGGAAUUUCAAAUAUGAAUAUUUUGUGUCAAGAAGAGGGAAGAAAAUGAGCAGCCAAACUCUGAUCCUCUCUGAAGUCGAAUUAGCGCUCAGAAGACAAUGAAAUUCUACCCUACGCUCCUGCUGCCACCGUGACCUGCAGACUCACCUGAAGCCGUCACUUUAUGACUGCGUGGAGCUUUGCUCUUCACUCUGGACUAUUCAAGUGGAAGAAGGAAGAGGAGAUGAAGGAAUCUGGGGCUUUGACAUAGCAGAUGGCAGCAUCGUUUGCAGAUAAACUUCUAUGGUAUCAUCCACAUUUUACAGAGAAGCAUGGGACACAGCAAGGAAGAAGUAAAAUCUAGAUUCAAAUUCUACAGCCUAACUCAGAAGAUCAUACUCUUAGUAAAUAUUGUUUAUAUUUA